This 460-nucleotide ribosomal RNA is filed under the name uncultured bacterium. RNAcentral's name for it is "partial 16S ribosomal RNA". It matches the Rfam family "Bacterial small subunit ribosomal RNA", at positions 338 to 795 of the family's 1533-position model. The record is from RNAcentral.
CCUACGGGAGGCAGCAGUGAGGAAUAUUGGUCAAUGGACGAGAGUCUGAACCAGCCAAGUAGCGUGUAGGAUGACUGCCCUAUGGAUUGUAAACUUCUUUUAUCUGGGAAUAAAACGUUCCUAGUGGGGGAUUUUGUAUGUACCAACUGACUAAGGAUCGGCUAACUCCGUGCCAGAAGCCGCGGGAAGACGGAGGAUCCGAGCGUUAUCCGGAUUUAUGGGGUUGAGAGGGAGCGUAAGUGGAUUGUUAAGUCAGUUGUGAAAGUUUGCGGCUCAACCGUGAAAUUGCAGUUGAAAAUGGCAGUCUUGAGUACAGUAGAGGUGGGCGGAAUUCGUGGUGUAGCGGUGAAAUGCUUAGAUAUCACGAAGAACUCCGAUUGCGAAGGCAGUUCACUGGACUGCAACUGACACUGAGGCUCGAAAGUGUGGGUAUCAAACAGGAUUAGAUACCCUUGUAGUC